This 565-nucleotide ribosomal RNA is filed under the name uncultured bacterium. RNAcentral's name for it is "partial 16S ribosomal RNA". It matches the Rfam family "Bacterial small subunit ribosomal RNA", at positions 355 to 938 of the family's 1533-position model. The record is from RNAcentral.
UGGGGAAUAUUGCACAAUGGGCGAAAGCCUGAUGCAGCAACGCCGCGUGAGUGAUGAAGGCCUUCGGGUUGUAAAGCUCUGUCUUUUGGGACGAUAAUGACGGUACCAAAGGAGGAAGCCACGGCUAACUACGUGCCAGCAGCCGCGGUAAUACGUAGGUGGCAAGCGUUGUCCGGAUUUACUGGGCGUAAAGGAUGCGUAGGCGGAUUUUUAAGUGAGAUGUGAAAACCCUAAGCUUAACUUGGGGACUGCAUUUCAUACUGGAAAUCUAGAGUGCGGGAGAGGAGAAUGGAAUUCCUAGUGUAGCGGUGAAAAUGCGUAGAGAUUAGGAAGAACACCAGUGGCGAAGGCGAUUCUCUGGACCGUAACUGACGCUGAGGCAUGAAAGCGUGGGUAGCAAACAGGAUUAGAUACCCUGGUAGUCCACGCCGUAAACGAUGAGUACUAGGUGUAGGAGGUAUCGACCCCUUCUGUGCCGCAGUUAACACAAUAAGUACUCCGCCUGGGAAGUACGAUCGCAAGAUUAAAAACUUAAAUGAAUUGACGGGGGUCAUAGCUGUUUCCU